AAAAUUCUGAAGCCCUAAUUUCCCAAACUUGGACAUAAUCCCAUGUUACUUUGCCUUGAUUAAUCAUCCAGUAGGCAUGUUGAUUGUGCUUUCACCUUGCUGCUUCGCUCACAAGUACCCUUGCAAAUGCCUUGACCACUAUCACAAACCUACAAAACACAAGCCAUGAAGUACUGAACCAAAUGGAGUUAACCUGCUGCAUAAUUGCUUGAAAUUAAUUCACACCCUCUGAUAUUCCAAAUGCAAUGCAUAACAAUUGGUUUAGGCCUGCAGAACAACACAAUCUGCAGCAUGACAGCAGUUCAUCCAUGUCCAUAAUAAAAUCCUACAGCAAGGUAAGUAUUGGCAGCACAUCAACAACAACAAGAUGCAAUGCUCAUGUUGAUGUUGCAUGCCUGAAAUGGCAUUCAUCUGCAAAAUGCAUGGCAACCUGAAAUAAAAUCAACAGAAAAUCAGAUGGGAUUUGCUUGCAUUAGCUCAAUGGAGUUCCACCUGCAUCAUGUUGCAGCAGACCUAUAGAAACC
This 524-nucleotide long non-coding RNA is filed under the name Lathyrus oleraceus (garden pea). RNAcentral describes it as "Pisum sativum (pea) long non-coding RNA (PSAT_LNC035989)". The record is from RNAcentral. Lineage: Eukaryota; Viridiplantae; Streptophyta; Magnoliopsida; Fabales; Fabaceae.